RNAcentral lists this ribosomal RNA (260 nucleotides) under uncultured bacterium. RNAcentral's name for it is "partial 16S ribosomal RNA". It matches the Rfam family "Bacterial small subunit ribosomal RNA", at positions 92 to 353 of the family's 1533-position model. The record is from RNAcentral.
CGAGUGGCGGACGGGUGAGUAAUGUCUGGGAAACUGCCUGAUGGAGGGGGAGUAACUACUGGAAACGGUAGCUAAUACCGCAUAACGUCGCAAGACCAAANAGGGGGACCUCGGGCCUCUUGCCAUCGGAUGUGCCCAGAUGGGAUUAGCUAGUAGGUGGGGUAACGGCUCACCUAGGCGACGAUCCCUAGCUGGUCUGAGAGGAUGACCAGCCACACUGGAACUGAGACACGGUCCAGACUCCUACGGGAGGCAGCAUG